GGCGAACCGUGCGAACGUUGUUCGGAAUCACUGGGCAUAAAGGGCGCGUAGGCGGCUUUUCAAGUCAGGGGUGAAAUCCGGCAGCUCAACUGUCGAAGUGCCUUUGAUACUGAGGAGCUCGAGGGAGGUAGGGGUGUGCGGAACUUCCGGUGGAGCGGUGAAAUGCGUUGAUAUCGGAAGGAACGCCGGUGGCGAAAGCGGCGCACUGGACCUCUUCUGACGCUGAGGCGCGAAAGCCAGGGGAGCAAACGGG
RNAcentral lists this ribosomal RNA (253 nucleotides) under uncultured bacterium. RNAcentral describes it as "partial 16S ribosomal RNA". It matches the Rfam family "Bacterial small subunit ribosomal RNA", at positions 524 to 776 of the family's 1533-position model. The record is from RNAcentral.